UACGGAGGAUGCAAGCGUUAUCCGGAAUGAUUGGGCGUAAAGGGUCCGCAGGUGGCAAUGUAAGUCUGCUGUCAAAGAAUGAGGCUUAACCUCAUCAAGGCAGUGGAAACUACAUAGCUAGAGUACGGUCGGGGUAGAAGGAAUUCCUGGUGUAGCGGUGAAAUGCGUAGAGAUCGGGAAGAACAUCGGUGGCGAAAGCGCUCUGCUGGACUGCAACUGACACUCAGGGACGAAAGCUAGGGGAGCGAAUGGG
This 253-nucleotide ribosomal RNA is filed under the name uncultured bacterium. RNAcentral describes it as "partial 16S ribosomal RNA". It matches the Rfam family "Bacterial small subunit ribosomal RNA", at positions 524 to 776 of the family's 1533-position model. The record is from RNAcentral.